This 253-nucleotide ribosomal RNA is filed under the name uncultured bacterium. RNAcentral describes it as "partial 16S ribosomal RNA". It matches the Rfam family "Bacterial small subunit ribosomal RNA", at positions 524 to 776 of the family's 1533-position model. The record is from RNAcentral.
UACGUAGGCAGCGAGCGUUGUUCGGAGUUACUGGGCGUAAAGAGUGUGUAGGCGGUGCUCCAAGUCUGGUGUGAAAUCUCCCGGCUCAACUGGGAGGGUGCGCUAGAAACUGGAAUGCUAGAGGAUGGGAGAGGUAAGCGGAAUUCCUGGUGUAGCGGUGAAAUGCGUAGAUAUCAGGAGGAACACCUGUGGUGUAGACAGCUUACUGGACCAUUUCUGACGCUGAGACACGAAAGCGUGGGUAGCAAACAGG